GCCAGACUCCUACGGGAGGCAGCAGUGGGGAAUAUUGGGCAAUGGGGGAAACCCUGACCCAGCGACGCCGCGUGAGGGAAGAAGGUUUUCGGAUUGUAAACCUCUGUCCUUGGUGACGAUAAUGACGGUAGCCAAGGAGGAAGCCACGGCUAACUCCGUGCCAGCAGCCGCGGUAAUACGGAGGAUCCGAGCGUUAUCCGGAUUCAUUGGGUUUAAAGGGUGCGUAGGUUGUUUUAUAAGUUAGCGGUGAAAUGCCGAUGCUCAACAUCGGGGCUGCCGCUAAUACUGUAGGACUAGAGAUCGGAUGCAGCAGGCGGAAUGUGUAGUGUAGCGGUGAAAUGCAUAGAUAUUACACAGAACACCGAUUGCGAAGGCAGCUUGCUAGGCCGGAUCUGACACUGAUGCACGAAAGCGUGGGGAUCGAACAGGAUUAGAUCCCCCAGUA
RNAcentral lists this ribosomal RNA (445 nucleotides) under uncultured bacterium. RNAcentral's name for it is "partial 16S ribosomal RNA". It matches the Rfam family "Bacterial small subunit ribosomal RNA", at positions 330 to 792 of the family's 1533-position model. The record is from RNAcentral.